GCCUGGGUGGCUCAGUCGGUUGAGCGUCCGACUUCGGCUCAGGUCAUGAUCUCACGGCUCGUGGGUUCGAGCCCCGCGUCAGGCU
Molecule: transfer RNA, 85 nt
Filed under: Felis catus (domestic cat)
Lineage: Eukaryota; Metazoa; Chordata; Mammalia; Carnivora; Felidae
Rfam family: tRNA
About the family: Transfer RNA (tRNA) molecules are approximately 80 nucleotides in length. Their secondary structure includes four short double-helical elements and three loops (D, anti-codon, and T loops).
Source: Rfam by way of RNAcentral